This 164-nucleotide ribosomal RNA is filed under the name Zingiber barbatum. RNAcentral describes it as "5.8S ribosomal RNA". It matches the Rfam family "5.8S ribosomal RNA". From Rfam's summary of the family: 5.8S ribosomal RNA (5.8S rRNA) is a component of the large subunit of the eukaryotic ribosome. It is transcribed by RNA polymerase I as part of the 45S precursor that also contains 18S and 28S rRNA. The record is from RNAcentral. Lineage: Eukaryota; Viridiplantae; Streptophyta; Magnoliopsida; Zingiberales; Zingiberaceae.
CAAACGACUCUCGGCAAUGGAUAUCUCGGCUCUUGUAUCGAUGAAGAACGUAGUGAAAUGCGAUACUUGGUGUGAAUUGCAGAAUCUCGUGAACCAUUGAGUCUUUGAACGCAAGUUGUGCCCGAGGCCUUGUGGCCGAGGGCACGCCUGCUUGGGUGUCAUGG